This 2318-nucleotide long non-coding RNA is filed under the name Homo sapiens (human). Its description in RNAcentral is "HSALNT0223382". Lineage: Eukaryota; Metazoa; Chordata; Mammalia; Primates; Hominidae. The record is from RNAcentral.
GGUGUCCUGGGAGUAUCACUCCUAAUUUAGACAGUGGACAGCAACAUGCACUUCCUGUACAUUUAACUCAAACCCUAUGGAGGUGGCACCACGAUGGGGACACCUGGAUGGAUGUAGUGAAGGAACACAAUACAGUUAGAAUCCCUCACUUGCUGUGUGUUUCUGUUUCCCCAGGUAGGAGGAACUCCCCGAGGUCAGGAAGCAGUGUCUAUUCAUUUGUCGUAUGGAAUCACCACACCCUUCAGUGAUGGCCAUGCUUUCCUUGUCGCCUUCUUUGAGAUUGAGUGGGCCCCACAGAACGGCGUUCCCAGAAGCCUUGGUGACUGCUCAGAUCCCAGCUGCUUUACCUGCCAGCAUCCUGAAACUCAGUAAGAUCAGAGUCCAGACCUCGUAAGAUGUUGAGACUUCACCUACCGCUGCCCCACCCAGGCUGAUGAAGCAUCAAUCCAAGAUGAAGGGGCCCAUCCCUGAGUCUGUGCAAAAUCAGUGCCAAGUGAUCCACGGCCAUUUCAAAGCUGUCUCUGAAGCCCACACGCCUCCCACUUCUAAGCCGGUAAGGAUCCAGGUGCUGCCUCUCAGGAGCAGGAGUUGGAAAACAUAAAAGGAGAAGGUGGCCUCAAACAGCUCCCCUGUUGUAUCCAUCUCCCACCCACCCUGCGCCCAGGACCUCAGAAAGAUUCAGGAAAAACUUCCAUGAAAGUACCACUUCUUACCUAUCUUAACCCGAGCUCCUGGCUUUAUCUUUAUUUCAAUCUAUUAUCCUGCUCCUGGACAUCCCCUCUCCUUUUCCUUCUCUCUUCCACUCCCCGUUCCCUGCCUCUCCUCUGCUCCCCACUCCCUCUCCCGGUCUACCUGUCCCCUCUCUUCCUCCACUCACUUGCCGAUUUUCUCUUGAUCUCUCACUGCAUCCCUUGCUCUCUGUCCCCACUCCUUUGACCCCUCUGGGCAUCUCUGAGUCCUACUAAUGCUCUGCCUCCCCGACAAAAAGCACAGAUGAGCUCACACUCACACCUUCACACAAAUGCUUUCUUUCCUAGGUCUCUCUUCUCUGGCUUUGUCACUCUGGACUUUGCUUCCGGCUUCAAGUUUCUAGGUGUAAUAUGUGAAGAUUAAUGGCAAUGAAGCAAACGUGCAUAAGAAAAUCCACGCAGCAAAGGCAAUUCCGUUAUUCUCAAGUCCAUAGAUGCCCAGUGUGACAUUGUGAACUGGAGAAAAAGGAGCACUUCCUGUUCAGGAAAUCUUGUAAAAUCAUAAAUGUCAGGACUCAGUCAACAAUACCCCAAAAUGAAGGCCUCAGAAGCAUCCUCAGAGGAAAAAUUUAUUUCUCUGAUCUUCUCUUGCCCUCCUGUCUCUUAGCGCCAUUCUCCCCUGAGGCUAGACACAGACACUAGAAUCCCUCUGCCCCAGGGCAGGGCAUGGAAGCCAGAAGCCUUUUUCCCCAAAGCCAGCCAUAAAACUUAAAGAUGUCACUCUAACUUUCCCUCUGCCUUUCUGUGUGAAAACUGGCCAUAAAGAAACUAUCUGCCCUACCUUGUUUGACUGAAGGUCAUAAGACCCUCAUUCCAGAGAGGGUCCUGCCUCAUACUCAGAAGGAAGGAAUGCACGUUCAGCAAGGCCAAGAAGAAUCUAAACAGACAGGCCUUGCUGAGUUUCCCCACUCAGCCGAUUGACAUUGGAUCAUGCCCUUUUCGUCUAAUCCUAUAUCUACACGGCUGUCCAUACUUUGUUGAACAUAAGCAUAAAAAUGGUCAGUUUCCUCUGUAUCUUUGGGUCAUUCUGAAGGUUCUCAUGUACACAUUAAUAAAAUUUAUACCCAUUUUCUCCAAUUAACCUGCCUUUUGUGAGUUGAUUUUUCAGCAAACCUUCAGAAAAUGAAGAGGCUUUCCCUUUGCCCCUCCAGUAACAAAAUGGUAUCUCAUUCUCUAAAUACAAUUAUUUCUAUAAAAUGCCUUUUCUAGGCUGGGUGUGGUGGCUCACGCCUGUAAUUCCAGCACUUUGGGAGGCCGAGGCGGGGGGAGGUGGUGGGUGGAUCACUUGAGGCCAGCAGUUCAAGUCCAGUCUGGACAACAUGGUGAAACCUCGUCUCUACUAAAAAUACAAAAAUUAGCCGGGCGUGGUGGUGUGCACCUGUAGACCCAGCUACUCGAGAGGCUGAGGCAGGAGAAUCACUUGAACCUGGGAGGCAGAGGUUGCAGUGAGCCGAGAUCGCACCACUGCACUCCAGCCUGGGCAACAGAGCAAGACUCGGUCUCAAAAAAUAAAAUAAAAUAAAAUAAAAUAAAAUAAAAUAAAAUAAAAUAAAAUAAAAUAAAAUAAAA